RNAcentral lists this ribosomal RNA (189 nucleotides) under uncultured bacterium. RNAcentral describes it as "partial 16S ribosomal RNA". It matches the Rfam family "Bacterial small subunit ribosomal RNA", at positions 338 to 524 of the family's 1533-position model. The record is from RNAcentral.
CCUACGGGAGGCAGCAGUGAGGAAUAUUGGUCAAUGGUCGCAAGACUGAACCAGCCAUGCCGCGUGCAGGAAGACGGUCCUAUGGAUUGUAAACUGCUUUUAUACAGGAAGAAACCCUCCCACGUGUGGGAGCUUGACGGUACUGUAGGAAUAAGGAUCGGCUAACUCCCUGCCAGCAGCCGCGGUAAU